GACGAACGCUGGCGGCGUGCUUAACACAUGCAAGUCGAACGGAAAGGCCCUGCUUUUGUGGGGUGCUCGAGUGGCGAACGGGUGAGUAACACGUGAGUAACCUGCCCUUGACUUUGGGAUAACUUCAGGAAACUGGGGCUAAUACCGGAUAGGAGCUCCUGCUGCAUGGUGGGGGUUGGAAAGUUUCGGCGGUUGGGGAUGGACUCGCGGCUUAUCAGCUUGUUGGUGGGGUAGUGGCUUACCAAGGCUUUGACGGGUAGCCGGCCUGGGAGGGUGACCGGCCACCUUGGGACUGCGAUACGGCCCAGACUCCUACGGGAGGCAGCAGUGGGGAAUAUUGCACAAUGGGCGGAAGCCUGAUGCAGCAACGCCGCGUGCGGGAUGACGGCCUUCGGGUUGUAAACCGCUUUCGCCUGUGACGAAGCGUGAGUGACGGUAAUGGGUAAAGAAGCACCGGCUAACUACGUG
This 468-nucleotide ribosomal RNA is filed under the name uncultured bacterium. Its description in RNAcentral is "partial 16S ribosomal RNA". It matches the Rfam family "Bacterial small subunit ribosomal RNA", at positions 28 to 507 of the family's 1533-position model. The record is from RNAcentral.